This 497-nucleotide ribosomal RNA is filed under the name uncultured bacterium. RNAcentral's name for it is "partial 16S ribosomal RNA". It matches the Rfam family "Bacterial small subunit ribosomal RNA", at positions 28 to 507 of the family's 1533-position model. The record is from RNAcentral.
GAUGAACGCUGGCGGCGUGCCUAAUACAUGCAAGUCGAGCGAACGGACGAGAAGCUUGCUUCUCUGAUGUUAGCGGCGGACGUGUGAUUAACACGUGGAUAACCUACCUAUAAGACUGGGAUAACUUCGGGAAACCGGAUCUAAUACCGGAUAAUAUUUUGAACCGCAUGGUUCAAAAGUGAAAGACGGUCUUGCUUUCACUUAUAGAUGUAUCCGCGCUGCAUUAGCUAGUUGUUAAGGUAACGGCUUACCAAGGCAACGAUGCAUAGCCGACCUGAGAGGGUGAUCGGCAACAGGGGAACGGAGAAACGGACAAGAAUCCUACGGGAGGAAGCAGUAGGGAAUAGUACGAAAUGGGAGAAAGCAUGACGGAGAAACGCCGAGUGAGUGAUGAAGGUCUUAGGAUCGUAAAAAUCUGUUAUGAGGGAAGAAAAUAUGUGUAAGUAAAUGUGCACAUAGUGACGGUAACUAAUCAGAAAGCAACGGCUAACUACGUG